UCUCCGUAGGUGAACCUGCGGAGGGAUCAUUACAGAGUUCAUGCCCUACCGGGUAGAUCUCUCACCCUAUGUUAUUAUUACUUUGUUGCUUUGGCGGGCCGUUAGGCUCCGGCCCGACUACCGGCCCCGGCUGGUAAGCGCCCGCCAGAGGACCCAAAACCCUGAAUAUUAGUGUCGUCUGAGUACUAUAUAAUAGUUAAAACUUUCAACAACGGAUCUCUUGGUUCUG
RNAcentral lists this unclassified non-coding RNA (229 nucleotides) under plant metagenome. RNAcentral describes it as "partial contains small subunit ribosomal RNA, internal transcribed spacer 1, and 5.8S ribosomal RNA". The record is from RNAcentral.